This 45-nucleotide non-coding RNA is filed under the name Schistosoma mansoni. Lineage: Eukaryota; Metazoa; Platyhelminthes; Trematoda; Strigeidida; Schistosomatidae. The record is from RNAcentral.
GCACUGCUGAGGAGUCCUUAAUAGGACGAAACGGCCGUCCAGUAC